GCCUGGGUGGUUCAGUUGGUUAAGCGUCUGACUUUGGCUCAGGUGAUCUCAGGGUUCGUGGGUUCAAGCCCCACCUCGGGCU
Molecule: non-coding RNA, 82 nt
Organism: Prionailurus viverrinus (fishing cat)
Lineage: Eukaryota; Metazoa; Chordata; Mammalia; Carnivora; Felidae
Source: the annotation of a RefSeq genome assembly